UGUUCCUGGCAGGCAUCUGUGAUGUCUUUUUCUAAGUAACUGGCCUACAGACCCAGAUUGGUGGAGGCCCCAGCUCUUGGGUGUAGGUUUUGUAUGUCUGAGAUGGAAUCCCGUAUGUAGGUGGAAUCUGGUGGUGAAGAGAUGGGGUCGGGGAGGCAGGUAGGACCUAUGAGGUGUGGCUCUAGGUUAGAGCAAGCUUGAAGAUAGAGUCAGAGUGUCCCGCUGAGUCUGCCUUAGUAUACUUCUGUGUUUAUUAGGCAUGGUGGUUUGGGCUCGCUGGAUUCAGGGACCUGUUAUGGGUGGAGGGCUGCUCCGUGAGUGUUUAGACCAGGAGUCCCUGAAUCCAGUGUGAGGCUGCGUCAUCCUUGAGCUGAAGACCCUGGGUUGGUGGAGGUGGCGGUUGGUUGCUGCAGAUUUUGGUUUACGACGGGAGUGUGCUCGGAGUUCAAGCCUGGAUGUUUCCGCAGGAGGCGAGCUUAGGGACAGGGGUCCUGAGGCCCAAGGCCGUUUAAGAACCAGCUGAAGCGGUAGAUCAGAGCCUGAGAGGGGCAGAGUCGCGGCACCACUCGUUGGGGCGCAUGCGCAUGCGUUGGGCAGAAUCUGGGUGGGACUCUCUAGUAGCACGGCUCUCCCGGAAGCGGAAAGAGGGCGCCACCCGGGUGUGGGGGUGUGGCCUCGAUUUGCCAUCGCGCAUGCGCGGCAAUGGAUGGGAGGCUCCUGGCGGACCUAGACAUACCGGAAGCUGGGCAGGUACACCGGAAGUAGGGCAGGUGUACCGCAGUGGGGCAGGUGAACAGGCCUUCCUACCUGGAGCUUCAUCACUCGGGACUUACCCUAAUGGCACCCCUGGUUCGAUCCUUCAGGGCAGGGGUUCCCCGCUGUCAGCCCAGGGCGUCUGAGCUGCUGGCCUCGUGACCCCGCGUGACACGUUUCAGGGCCGUCCCCAGUUUCUUUUCCCAGCCCGGGUCCUCCUAUGGGGAAAUUCCACCUGCGAUGCCCUUCGUGUGUCUGGUCACUGGGAUGAAAUCAGGAGCGCGGAAAGGUGUUUCCAUCGCGGCCUCAUGAACGCAGAUAAUUGUAAACGUCCCUGGGAGCCGCGACUGUAGCAGGAAGAUACGUGGUAUUGGGGAACAUCAUCAAAAAGACACGUGAUUGCUGAUUGACCCGCGACCUGGACAUAGACACUUGGAGGCUCCUCACCCCCCUCCCCUGUCCUCGGAAUGUAGGUUCUGCUUGCCUUUCCUCUUCCCAGAGGCUGCUCCAAGGAUGUAGUCUUGAAAUGGUGAUGUGGUGUUUGAAAACACCUGCAUGGUAUAUGUGACUAAGCACAGUUAAGUCCUCUUUAUAAACUGAAGAUUUGGAGGGUGAGUCUGGGGAUCCACUCAUCUUUCAGUUGCCCGCGACAAGCCUCAUUUGUAAGUUCCCUUUGCUUCAUAAAAUUGCCACCUACUAACCAGGA
This is a long non-coding RNA of Herpailurus yagouaroundi (jaguarundi), 1459 nucleotides long. RefSeq lists it as uncharacterized. Lineage: Eukaryota; Metazoa; Chordata; Mammalia; Carnivora; Felidae. The record is from RefSeq and is a predicted model, not a curated record. The transcript has 3 exons.